RNAcentral lists this ribosomal RNA (254 nucleotides) under uncultured bacterium. Its description in RNAcentral is "partial 16S ribosomal RNA". It matches the Rfam family "Bacterial small subunit ribosomal RNA", at positions 524 to 776 of the family's 1533-position model. The record is from RNAcentral.
UACGGGGGGAGCAAGCGUUGUUCGGAUUUACUGGGCGUAAAGGGCGCGUAGGCGGCCACCGCAAGUCGACUGUGAAAUCUCCGGGCUUAACCCGGAAAGGUCAGCCGAUACUGCGGGGCUAGAGUGCAGAAGGGGCAAUUGGAAUUCUCGGUGUAGCGGUGAAAUGCGUAGAUAUCGAGAGGAACACCUGCGGCGAAGGCGGGUUGCUGGGCUGACACUGACGCUGAGGCGCGAAAGCUAGGGGAGCGAACGGG